GGUUCGAUUCUGGCUCAGACGACGCUGGCAGGAUACUUUACACAUGCAAGUCGAACGGCAGCACGGACUUCGGUCUGGUGGCGAGUGGCGAACGGGUGAGUAAUGUAUCGGAACGUGCCUAGUAGCGGGGGAUAACUACGAAAGCGUAGCUAAUACCAUACGCCCUUCGGGGAAAGCGGGGGACCUUCGGGCCUCGCGCUAUUAAAACGGCCGAUAUCGGAUUAGCUAGUUGGUGGGGUAACGGCUCGCAAGGCGACUGAAUCGUAGCUGGUUUGAGAGGACGACCAGCCACACUGGGACUGAGACACGGCUGAGCUCCUACGGGAGGCAGCAGUGGGGAAUUUUGGACAAUGGGGAAACCCUGAUCCAGCCAUCCGCGUGUGCGAUGAAGGCCUUCGGGUUGUAAAGCUUACUUUUGGCGGGAAAGAAACGGCGGGAUGUCUUCCCGUGCAACUGACGGUACCUGCCAGAAUGGCACCAGCUAACACAUUGCCAGCAGCCGCGAUACAUGGAUUGCAAGCGUUAAUCGGAAUUACGGGCGUAAAGCGUGCGCAGGCGGUUCGGAAAGAAAGAUGUGAAAUCCAGAGCCUAACUUUCAGAACUGCAUUUUUGGCUACCGAGCUAGAGUGCGUCAGAGGAGGUGAAUUCCCGCCGCCAUGUAAGUAAAUGCGUAGAUAUGCGGAGGAACACCGAUGGCAAAGCGGCCUCCUGGGAUAACACUGACGCUCAUGCGAAACGUGGGGAGCAAACGGGAUGAUACCCUGGUAGUCCACGCCCUAAACGAUGUCAACUAGCUGUUGGGGCCUUCGGGCCUUGGUAGCGCAGCUAACGCGUGAAGUUGACCGCCUGGGAGUGCGGUCGCAAAGAUUAAAGCUCAAAAGGUGACGGGGACCCGCACAAGCAGUGGAUGAUGUAAGUUAAUUCAGUGCAACGCGAAAAGCCUUACCUACCCUUGACAUAUACAGAUCCCGAAGAGAUUUGGGAGUGCUCACAAGAGAACGGAACACAGGUGCUGCAUGGCCUCAGUAAUAAUGUCGUGAGAUGUUGAGUUAAGUCCCGCAGCAGGCGCAACCCUUGUCAUUAGUUGCUACGAAAGGGCACUCUAAUGAGACCGCAGUGACAAACCGGAGGAAGGUGGGGAUGACGUCAAGUGCCAUGGCCCUUAUGGGUAGAACUACCCGUCAUACAAUGGUCAGGAUGAAGGUCGCCAACCCGCGAGGGGAGCCAAUCAGAAACCCGAUCGUAGUCCGGAUCGCAGUCUGCAGCUCUGUUGCGUGAAGUCAGGUCGCUAAAGUAAUCACCGGAUCAGCAUGUCGCGGUGAAUACGUUCCCGGGUCUUGUACACACCGCCCGUCACACCAUGGGAGUGGGUUUUACCGAAGUAGUUAGCUAUUUUGUAAGAGGCGAUUACACGACCGGAUUCGCUGACUGGGGUGAAGUCUGCUCAAGGUAA
RNAcentral lists this ribosomal RNA (1453 nucleotides) under uncultured Bordetella sp. Its description in RNAcentral is "partial 16S-23S ribosomal RNA intergenic spacer". It matches the Rfam family "Bacterial small subunit ribosomal RNA". Lineage: Bacteria; Pseudomonadati; Pseudomonadota; Betaproteobacteria; Burkholderiales; Alcaligenaceae. The record is from RNAcentral.